This 328-nucleotide long non-coding RNA is filed under the name Hordeum vulgare. RNAcentral's name for it is "long non-coding RNA (HVUL_LNC002724)". Lineage: Eukaryota; Viridiplantae; Streptophyta; Magnoliopsida; Poales; Poaceae. The record is from RNAcentral.
GGAUCUAGUGGUCAUGGAGAGGGCAGGGGCACCGGCUCCGGUUCUAGCUCCGCCAUGUCUACCUAUUAUGGAAAAGAGGAUGCAAAUGCAAGUGUUAAGGGUAGUGGAGGUGGCAAAGGAGGCGGGGAAAAUGGUGGCAGCGGCAGUGGUGGCGGGAGCGGAUCCGGAAAUGCCGAAGCAAACCCUUAAGUUGCCUUUUUGACAUGGCCAAGUGUUUUAAGUUGUCGCAAUCAUUCAUGUUUUCCUUUUUUUUCCUCCCGCUAACAAGGAGAAAAUGUUUUCAUGUACACUUGUCUUGUGAUCAUAGAAAUGAAUAAAAAUGUUGACA